GAUGAACAGGGCAAACUGACACUAAACCAGGCUGAGUGCUGCAAUUCAGCACUACUCCUCCCAUUCCCAGAAGGCUAGGUUCAUAAUGGUGGAGAUUCUCCCAAAUAUCUUCAUUCCAUCACAAGAACACUGCCAGGCUUUUGGCAGACUACAAAUACUUUUUCUUUUCUUUUCUUUUCUUUUCUUUUCUUUUCUUUUCUUUUCUUUUCUUUUCUUUUCUUUUCUUUUCUUUUCUUUUCUUUUCUUUUCCUUUUAAUUAGGGAAAAUGGUUUCAAGAGGAAGAUUUAAAAAUGUUAAUAAUGUGAACUCCUAAGAGGCAUAAUAAUAGAGACACUUAUUGGAUAUACUACCUUAAAAAGUAAACUUAGCAAAACAAAAUGUAACAAAUAAUGUAAUAAUUGCCAUCUUCCCCUGGCUAAACCAAAAUAUCUCUUGAACUUUUUUUAUCUCAACAUGGGCUUUUUUAUUUUCUCACUGAUAAUUUUUCUGGUUUUUAAUUUUUCUAUUCAGGAAUAAGUCUAACACGCCCAAUUACCAUCUCAAGGCUUCAUGGAUAUCACGUUACAUGGAAUGAAAAAACAGCUCUUGGGUCAAGACACAGUUACAGCAGGCUGCAGUCUUGGGUCCAGGUGUGCGGUUACCAUGGCUCUCGUGAUGCCCUGCGGUAGCACUUUCUGCAUCCUCAUCAGCGACAAGCGUUCCCUCACUCCGAGUCAGGCUGAAACACCGUGGUUCAAAAGGGGAGAGAAGAUGUGGGAACGGCCUUGUCGCUCUGGGCUGCGGAGAGCCCUGCAGAGCGCGUCUGGGACAUGGACAGCGAACCAGAAUCUCUAGAAGUCCAAUAGGAAGAAGAUACAAUAAGCCAAACCAAAACAAAGCUCCUUUUGUCUCAAUGAAGAUUCCUCUGAAGAAUACCCAACUGCAACUCAAGAAUAAAUGAGUUCAGUAAUGAGCA
Molecule: long non-coding RNA, 955 nt
Filed under: Zonotrichia albicollis (white-throated sparrow)
Lineage: Eukaryota; Metazoa; Chordata; Aves; Passeriformes; Passerellidae
Description: lncRNA (ENSZALG00000015609.1)
Source: RNAcentral